UACGAAGGGGGCUAGCGUUACCCGGAAUCACUGGGCGUAAAGCGUGCGUAGGCGGUCUGGAAAGUUGGAAGUGAAAGCCCAGAGCUCAACUUUGGAAUUGCUUUCAAAACUACCAGACUAGAGUGUCAUAGGGGAUGAUGGAAUUCCUAGUGUAGAGGUGAAAUUCGUAGAUAUUAGGAGGAACACCGGUGGCGAAAGCGAUCAUCUGGAUGAAUACUGACGCUGUUGCACGAAAGCGUGGGGAGCAAACAGG
Molecule: ribosomal RNA, 253 nt
Filed under: uncultured bacterium
Lineage: Bacteria
Description: partial 16S ribosomal RNA
Rfam family: Bacterial small subunit ribosomal RNA
Source: RNAcentral